Molecule: ribosomal RNA, 427 nt
Filed under: uncultured bacterium
Lineage: Bacteria
Description: partial 16S ribosomal RNA
Rfam family: Bacterial small subunit ribosomal RNA
Source: RNAcentral
UGGGGAAUAUUGCACAAUGGGCGCAAGCCUGAUGCAGCCAUGCCGCGUGUAUGAAGAAGGCCUUCGGGUUGUAAAGUACUUUCAGCGGGGAGGAAGGCGAUAAGGUUAAUAACCGCAACGAUUGACGUUACUCGCAGAAGAAGCACCGGCUAACUCCGUGCCAGCAGCCGCGGUAAUAAGGAGGGUGCAAGCGUUAAUCGGAAUUCCUGGGCGUAAAGCGCACGCAGGCGGUCUGUCAAGUCGGAUGUGAAAUCCCCGGGCUCAACCUGGGAACUGCAUCCGAAACUGGCAGGCUAGAGUCUUGUAGAGGGGGGUAGAAUUCCAGGUGUAGCGGUGAAAUGCGUAGAGAUCUGGAGGAAUACCGGUGGCGAAGGCGGCCCCCUGGACAAAGACUGACGCUCAGGUGCGAAAGCGUGGGGAGCAAACA